AGCUUUGUGCAAGGGCAGUCUUGUAGCCAAUGAGGUUUAUCCGAGGCACAAUUAGUGCUACUUU
This 64-nucleotide small nuclear RNA is filed under the name Felis catus (domestic cat). RNAcentral describes it as "U4 spliceosomal RNA". It matches the Rfam family "U4 spliceosomal RNA", at positions 1 to 64 of the family's 138-position model. From Rfam's summary of the family: U4 small nuclear RNA (U4 snRNA) is a component of the major U2-dependent spliceosome. The structure of U4 snRNA from yeast and human has been reported. Lineage: Eukaryota; Metazoa; Chordata; Mammalia; Carnivora; Felidae. The record is from Rfam by way of RNAcentral. RNAcentral also lists the same sequence under 4 other names.